CAGGCCUAACACAUGCAAGUCGAGCGGAUGAAGGGAGCUUGCUCCUGGAUUUAGCGGCGGACGGGUGAGUAAUGCCUAGGAAUCUGCCUAGUGGUGGGGGAUAACGUUCGGAAACGGGCGCUAAUACCGCAUACGUCCUACGGGAGAAAGCGGGGGAUCUUCGGACCUCGCGCCAUUAGAUGAGCCUAGGUCGGAUUAGCUAGUUGGUGAGGUAAUGGCUCACCAAGGCGACGAUCCGUAACUGGUCUGAGAGGAUGAUCAGUCACACUGGAACUGAGACACGGUCCAGACUCCUACGGGAGGCAGCAGUGGGGAAUAUUGGACAAUGGGCGAAAGCCUGAUCCAGCCAUGCCGCGUGUGUGAAGAAGGUCUUCGGAUUGUAAAGCACUUUAAGUUGGGAGGAAGGGCAGUAAAUUAAUACUUUGCUGUUUUGACGUUACCAACAGAAUAAGCACCGGCUAACUUCGUGCCAGCAGCCGCGGUAAUACGAAGGGAGCAAGCGUUAAUCGGAAUUACUGGGCGUAGAGCGCGCGUAGGUGGUUCGGAACGA
Molecule: ribosomal RNA, 550 nt
Filed under: uncultured Pseudomonas sp.
Lineage: Bacteria; Pseudomonadati; Pseudomonadota; Gammaproteobacteria; Pseudomonadales; Pseudomonadaceae
Description: bacterial SSU rRNA
Rfam family: Bacterial small subunit ribosomal RNA
Source: RNAcentral